CAUACGGCAAAGAGAUCCUAUCUUAAAAAGAUACGAUCUCUUUGGGGAAGAAAUUUAUCGUUUAUCUAUCUCUAGGCUUUAAAAGAUAAGGAACUGCCUUGGGUAAACUGGCUCUUUUGGGAGGCACCAUAACUUAAGGAGGAAAUUUAGAACUCUAUUCUCCUGCCACAUAGGUUUCCCAGAAGUCGCAGAUCUGGGCUUCUCUGAUGCAGGAGAUGCCAACAUACCCCAUCUAAUAAAAUUUGUGUACAAGGCAUUGGAAGAAUUGACUGAGUAAUCAGUGAAAACUUCCAUAGAACUGACAGUGUUGGGUUGCAGGACACAAGGAGUCUGAAGAGGGAUUCAGAUGAGGUUAAUCUGUGAGGAGCAAGUCAGUCCAGUGACUAAGAACACCUGCAUCAUAUCCUGGUUCUACCACUUACUAGCUGUGUAUCAGAGAAGAAAAUGUCUUCUUUAAGCCUCAUGUGGAUAAUGUUUUAUUGUGAGGAUGAAGUAAGACAAUUUAUGUAAGAGAUGCUUCCCCUGAC
This is a long non-coding RNA of Mustela lutreola (European mink), 527 nucleotides long. RefSeq lists it as uncharacterized. The transcript is spliced from 3 exons. The record is from RefSeq and is a predicted model, not a curated record. Lineage: Eukaryota; Metazoa; Chordata; Mammalia; Carnivora; Mustelidae.